This 500-nucleotide ribosomal RNA is filed under the name uncultured bacterium. RNAcentral describes it as "partial 16S ribosomal RNA". It matches the Rfam family "Bacterial small subunit ribosomal RNA", at positions 30 to 523 of the family's 1533-position model. The record is from RNAcentral.
AUUGAACGCUGGCGGAAUGCUUUACACAUGCAAGUCAAACGGCAGCACGGGGGCAACCCUGGUGGCGAGUGGCGAACGGGUGAGUAAUACAUCGGAACGUGCCCAGUCGUGGGGGAUAACGUAGCGAAAGUUACGCUAAUACCGCAUACGAUCUACGGAUGAAAGCGGGGGACCGUAAGGCCUCGCGCGAUUGGAGCGGCCGAUGUCAGAUGAGGUAGUUGGUGAGGUAAAGGCUCACCAAGCCGACGAUCUGUAGCUGGUCUGAGAGGACGACCAGCCACACUGGGACUGAGACACGGCCCAGACUCCUACGGGAGGCAGCAGUGGUGAAUUUUGGACAAUGGGCGAAAGCCUGAUCCAGCCAUUCCGCGUGCAGGAUGAAGGCCCUCGGGUUGUAAACUGCUUUUGUACAGAACGAAAAGGUUUCUACUAAUACUAGGAGCUCAUGACGGUACUGUAAGAAUAAGCACCGGCUAACUACGUGCCAGCAGCCGCGGUAA